AUUGAACGCUGGCGGCAGGCCUAACACAUGCAAGUCGAGCGGGGUUUUCGGACCUAGCGGCGGACGGGUGAGUAAUGCGUAGGAAGCUGCCCGAUAGAGGGGGGAUACCAGUUGGAAACGACUGUUAAUACCGCAUAAUGUCUACGGACCAAAGUGUGGGACCUUCGGGCCGACCAUGCUAUCGGAUGCGCCUACGUGGG
RNAcentral lists this ribosomal RNA (200 nucleotides) under uncultured bacterium. RNAcentral's name for it is "partial 16S ribosomal RNA". It matches the Rfam family "Bacterial small subunit ribosomal RNA", at positions 30 to 239 of the family's 1533-position model. The record is from RNAcentral.